GCAGUGGUGGUUCAGUAGUAGAAUUCUCCCGUUCCAAGCAGAAGACCCAGGUUCGAUUCCCAGCCAAUGCA
Molecule: transfer RNA, 71 nt
Filed under: Loxodonta africana (African savanna elephant)
Lineage: Eukaryota; Metazoa; Chordata; Mammalia; Proboscidea; Elephantidae
Rfam family: tRNA
About the family: Transfer RNA (tRNA) molecules are approximately 80 nucleotides in length.
Source: Rfam by way of RNAcentral